Molecule: transfer RNA, 65 nt
Filed under: Callopanchax toddi
Lineage: Eukaryota; Metazoa; Chordata; Actinopteri; Cyprinodontiformes; Nothobranchiidae
Description: tRNA-Cys
Source: RNAcentral
AGCUCUGAAGUAUUAUACGUUAAGAUUGCAAAUCUUAAGUUGCAGGGUAAAGCCUGCCGGGGCUU